Molecule: ribosomal RNA, 253 nt
Filed under: uncultured bacterium
Lineage: Bacteria
Description: partial 16S ribosomal RNA
Rfam family: Bacterial small subunit ribosomal RNA
Source: RNAcentral
UACGUAGGGGGCAAGCGUUGUCCGGAUUUAUUGGGCGUAAAGAGCGUGUAGGCGGCUUUGCAAGUCCGUUGUGAAAACUCGAGGCUCAACCUCGAGACGCCGGUGGAAACUGCAAAGCUAGAGUCCGGAAGAGGGGAGUGGAAUUCCUGAUGUAGCGGUGAAAUGCGCAGAUAUCAGGAAGAACACCCGUGGCGAAGGCGGCUCUCUGGGACGGUACUGACGCUGAGACGCGAAAGCGUGGGGAGCGAACAGG